Molecule: ribosomal RNA, 1264 nt
Filed under: metagenome
Description: SSU rRNA
Rfam family: Eukaryotic small subunit ribosomal RNA
Source: RNAcentral
ACUCUUGGUUAUUCUAAGAAGUGUAAUGAGGAUAAUUUAAAACCCUUACCGAAAGCAAUUGGGGGGCAAGUCUGGUGCCAGCAGCCGCGGUAAUUCCAGCUCCAAUAGCGUAUAUUAAAGUUGUUGCAGUUAAAAGCUCGUAGUUGAAGUUCUGGCUGCUUGACCCUCGAGCUCUGUAGCCGAGGGCUCAGCAGUCAUCCGCUUGCAAAUAUAUGUUCGCCUUUAACCGGGCGGCUAUAUGAGUAAGCAUUUUACCUUGAGAAAAACAGAGUGUUCCAGGCAGGUUUGUCCGGAAUGCAUUAGCAUGGAAUAAUAGAAUAUGACUGAAGUCGAUUUAUUGGUUUGAGGCUUUAGUAAUGAUUAAUAGGAACAGUCGGGGGCAUUGGUACUUGUCAGUCAGAGGUGAAAUUCUAGGAUUUGACAAAGACUAACAAAUGCGAAAGCAUUUGCCAAGGAUGUUUUCAUUAAUCAAGAACGAAAGUUAGGGGAUCAAAGACGAUCAGAUACCGUCCUAGUCUUAACUAUAAACUAUACCGACUCGGAUUCAGAUGAAUCAUAAAGUUCAUUUGGGACCGUAGGAGAAAUCAAAGCUUUUGGGUUCUGGGGGAAGUAUGGUCGCAAGGCUGAAACUUAAAGGAAUUGACGGUUUUGCACCACCAUGGAGUGGAGUCUGCGGCUUAAUUUGACCCAACACUGGGAAACUCAUCAGGGCAAGAAGAUUGUAGGAUUGACAGAUUGAGAGUUCUUUCUUGAUUGGUCUAGUGGUGGUGCAUGGCCGUUCUUAGUUGGUGGAGUGAUUUGUCUGGUUAAUUCCGUUAACGAACGAGACCUUAACCUGCUAACUAGUACACCGAUGACAAAUCGGUGAUACUUCUUAGAGGGACUAUGUGAUGUAAUCACAUGGAAGUUUGAGGCAAUAACAGGUCUGUGAUGCCCUUAGAUGUCCUGAGCUGCACGCGUACUACAAUGGUGCUUUCAUCGAGCUUUUCCUGAUCCGAAAGGAUUUGGGUAAUCUUUUUAGUGAGCACCGUGCUUGGGAUAGAUCUUUGUAAUUAUGGAUCUUGAACUAGGAAUUCCUAGUAAGCACGUGUCAUCAGCACGUGCUGAUUACGUCCCUGCAAAAUGUACACACCGCCCGUCGCUAUUACCGAUUGAGUGUAAAGGUGAACCUUCUCGAUAGGCGCAAGCUUAGAAAUUAAGUAAACCUUUGCACUUAGAGGAAAUAAAAGUCGUAACAAGGUUUCCGUAGGUGAACCUGCGGAAG